AGAAGCUUAAUAUCAUAUUUGGUUCUCCACAGGGAGAGGUAGUUCUGCAAGUUUAAAUAUAUUUUGAAUAGCUUUCUUUUGUGUUCUUCUCUUUCUCUGUAAAUUUGGUUUCAUGGAUGUGUUUUCUGAACUCUUUAAGAACUCCUUUAUUGCUUAUCAUUUCAGUUUCAACUUCAUUGUCCCACCCUCAGGAAACUUACCAAACAUGCUGUUAUGUUGAAGCACAUGGAAUUCCUGGAACUCAUUUGGAUUUUACCAUCUCAGGCUGUUUUACAGACAUGGCAGGAAUUGUGCUGUUUAUAAGUUGUGCUGCCAUCGUGUGGACAAUAUUAAGAAGUGCAAAAAGAAGCUUUUAAGAAAUCGGGAAACGGGUAAAUAUCUGUAUUUGUUAUCGUGAAUUAGAUUAAUUAUAAAUAUAUAUUAUACAAGAGCUAUGCAAAAAUCUGUGGGUUUAACACUGAUAAUGGAAUCAGGAAUAUUGAUUCAAUCCUGUUUAUUUUCAGUUCAAGAAAUCCUUUGCAAUGAGCACAAAGUGAUCAAAAUACACAAGUCUCCAAACCACUUUUAAUCAGCACCAAAUUCCAACAUUACCUGCUUUUUUAUUCAUUUCUGUAUCUUUUUAUCUCUUUGUUUUUCCUCUAAGUCUUUGCAAAACUUGUUUUUGUACAGAGUGCAUUGCUUUCCUUCCACUCACACGCACAAACACUCACUCAGAACAUCAGCCAGCCCAGGCACCCUGCCCACACAGUCCUCAUUCCUGCAUGAGUUUACACGAAGCUUCCUUUCAGAAAUGGUUUUGGUCUAAGGCCUCUUCUUGUUUCCUACAUUUGACCCAGAGUUAAGAAACUUAGAGUUGAAAUAGCUGCAUCUAAUACCAGUAAAAGUCCAAUGGCCAAAUGAGAAACACUACAGUGCAUUCCUGCAGUUUUAGUCUUACUAAAAUUAAAUAUCUACAAAACUUUAUCUAAUAAACUUUAAUAUCUGUAAAAUAUAAGUGGACUU
This 1002-nucleotide long non-coding RNA is filed under the name Zonotrichia albicollis (white-throated sparrow). Its description in RNAcentral is "lncRNA (ENSZALG00000001362.1)". The record is from RNAcentral. Lineage: Eukaryota; Metazoa; Chordata; Aves; Passeriformes; Passerellidae.